UACGUAGGAGACGAGCGUUGUCCGGCAUUACUGGGCGUAAAGCGCGUGUAGGCGGAUGAGCAAGUCUGCUGUGAAAGCUCCUGGCUUAACCGGGAGUGGUCGGUGGAAACUGCUCGUCUGGAGGACGGUAGAGGUAGGUAGAAUUCCCGGUGUAGUGGUGAAAUGCGUAGAGAUCGGGAGGAAUACCUGUGGCGAAGGCGGCCUACUGGGCCAGACCUGACGCUGAGACGCGAAGGCGUGGGGAGCGAACGGG
RNAcentral lists this ribosomal RNA (253 nucleotides) under uncultured bacterium. RNAcentral describes it as "partial 16S ribosomal RNA". It matches the Rfam family "Bacterial small subunit ribosomal RNA", at positions 524 to 776 of the family's 1533-position model. The record is from RNAcentral.